AGGUCCUCCACUAGCUUGGACGAGUUUGAUCCUGGCUAGGCUAGAUUGCUCCUUAGACUAGUGGCGAACGGGUGAUAAACACGUGGGUGAUCUGCCUCGUACUUCGGGAUAAGCCUGGGAAACUGGGUCUAAUACCGGAUAGGACUGCAUCGUAAGGGUGUGGUGGAAAGUUUUUUCGGUACGAGAUGAGCCUGCGGCCUAUCAGCUUGUUGGUGGGGUAAUGGCCUACCAAGGCGUCGACGGGUAUCCGGCCUGAGAGGGUGUACGGACACAUUGGGACUGAGRUWCGCGCCCCCAGCACUUCAUACGGGAGGACCAGCGUUGGGGUAUGUGGCACAAUGGGCGUAAGCCUGAUGCACGCGACGCCGCGUGGGGAGAUGACGGCCUUCGAGUUGUGAACUCCUUUCGUCAGGGACGAAGGCCUUCGGGGUGACAGUAGCUGGAUAAGAAGCACCGGCUGACUACGUGCCAGCAGACGCGGUAAUACGUAAGGGUCGCGAGCGUCGUCCUGGAAUUACUGGGCGUAAAGAGCUCGUAGGUGGUUUGUCGCGUCGUCUGUGAAAUUGCCGGGGCUCAACUCCGGAUGGGCAGGCGAUACGGGCAUAACUUGAGUGCUGUAAGGGAGACUGGAAUUCCUCGUGUAGCGAUGAAAUGCGCAGAUAUCAGGAGGAACACCGAUGGCGAAGGCAGGUCUCUGGGCAGUUACUGACGCUGAGGAGCGAAACCAUGGGUAGCGAACAGGAUUAUAUACCCUGGUAGUCGAUGCCGUUAAACGGUGGGCGCUAAGUGUAGGGGGCUUUCUACGUCGUUCUGUGCCGUAGCUAACUCAUUAAGCGCCCCGCCUGGGGAGUACCGCCGCCAGGGCUAACAACUCAAAGGAAUUGACAGGGGGCCCGCACGAGCGGCAGGAGCAUGUGGAUUAAUGCAAUGCUACGCGAAGAAACCUUAACUGGGCUCGACAUACGACCGGACCGGGACAGAGAUGGUCUUUCCCUUUGUCGUCGUGGUACAGGUGCUGCAUGGUUGUCGUCAGCUUGUGUCGUGAGUAUGAUGGGUUAAGUCCAGCCACGAACCCAACCCUACUCUUAUGUUUGCCUUCACCUGAUGGUAGGGACUCAUGCGACACAGACGGGGGGGACUACGGAGGAAGGUGGGGGAUAACGUCUAAUCACUCAUGGCCCUUAAGUCCAAGGCUUCACAAAUGUCUACAAUGAUCGGUCCAACAGGCUGCGAUGCAGUGAUGUUCAGCUAAUCCUUAAAGCCGGCCUUAGUUCGGAUUGGGGUCUGCAACUCGACCCCAUGAAGUCGGAGUCGCUAGUAAUCGUAGAUCAGCAACGCUGCGGUGAAUACGUUCCCGGGCCUUGUACACACCGCCCGUCACGUCAUGAAAGUUGGUAACACCCGAAGCCCAUGGCCCAACCACUUUACUGGGGGCAGAGUUGAUCCUGGCUCAGGCUGGAUCACCUCCUAAGCUGAUCCAAAUACUA
Molecule: ribosomal RNA, 1487 nt
Filed under: Corynebacterium doosanense
Lineage: Bacteria; Bacillati; Actinomycetota; Actinomycetes; Mycobacteriales; Corynebacteriaceae
Description: bacterial SSU rRNA
Source: RNAcentral